This 475-nucleotide ribosomal RNA is filed under the name uncultured bacterium. RNAcentral's name for it is "bacterial SSU rRNA". It matches the Rfam family "Bacterial small subunit ribosomal RNA", at positions 15 to 507 of the family's 1533-position model. The record is from RNAcentral.
GAUCAUGGCUCAGAUUGAACGCUGGCGGCAUGCCUUACACAUGCAAGUCGAACGGCAGCACGGGAGCAAUCCUGGUGGCGAGUGGCGAACGGGUGAGUAAUAUAUCGGAACGUGCCCGGUCGUGGGGGAUAACGUAGCGAAAAGCUACGCUAAUACCGCAUACGAUCUACGGAUGAAAGCGGGGGGAUCGCAAGACCUCGCGCGAUUGGAGCGGCCGAUAUCAGAUUAGGUAGUUGGUGAGGUAAAGGCUCACCAAGCCGACGAUCUGUAGCUGGUCUGAGAGGACGACCAGCCACACUGGGACUGAGACACGGCCCAGACUCCUACGGGAGGCAGCAGUGGGGGAAUUUUGGACAAUGGGCGCAAGCCUGAUCCAGCAAUGCCGCGUGAGUGAUGAAGGCCUUCGGGUUGUAAAGCUCUUUUACUCGGGACGAUAAUGACGGUACCGAGAGAAUAAGCCCCGGCUAACUCCGUG